This 618-nucleotide long non-coding RNA is filed under the name Olea europaea (common olive). RNAcentral's name for it is "long non-coding RNA (OEUR_LNC014803)". Lineage: Eukaryota; Viridiplantae; Streptophyta; Magnoliopsida; Lamiales; Oleaceae. The record is from RNAcentral.
GCCAAUCGGCAGGUAAGGAUAUGCACUAAAAUUCAAUGUGCAAGCUGCAUGUUUUUCCGAUUAGAUUAAAUAAUAUUAGCCAACACUUAUAACAAGAAGAAGAGUGUUGAUCUAAGAAGUCGUCAACUGUCGAAAUUGUGCAAGAAUCUACAGAUGCUGUUGCUUUUGAGGACUGACAUGAUGGAUAUUCAAGGUGGCCUUGGGGUUGCCCAGCAGCAGAGGAGUCACUUUAUAUACACAUAAAUGCCCUUAUUUACCAACAAGUACAUGCACUUGGAUGCUUUUAUGUAGAGCUGUCUAGACGCGUGUUUUUCUGUAGAUCAAUCCUUAAAGCAACAACAUUCCAAGAUUCUCAUGACAGUUAGAAAUUUCGACGUCAACUAAGAAUUUUGCGUGUGUGUGGUCGUGUGGUGCAGGGUGUUAUGGGUGGAAGGUAAUUUUUAUACCUGAAUCUUCAAGAGAUGGUGACAAUCGUGAAAAAGCUUGAACAUAGAAGAGAAGGAUGAACAACAAAGAAGCUUUUUUGUACUUCAUGAUUCUUGCAUUAGUCCUCUUCUUGUACAGCAGAUUUCAGAUGAACAGUUUUUCAAAAUCUUGCUAGAAAAGCUUCAUUUCUUG